RNAcentral lists this ribosomal RNA (825 nucleotides) under Sphaerulina betulae. Its description in RNAcentral is "eukaryotic LSU rRNA". It matches the Rfam family "Eukaryotic large subunit ribosomal RNA", at positions 71 to 925 of the family's 3401-position model. The record is from RNAcentral. Lineage: Eukaryota; Fungi; Ascomycota; Dothideomycetes; Mycosphaerellales; Mycosphaerellaceae.
GGGAUUGCCCUAGUAACGGCGAGUGAAGCGGCAACAGCUCAAAUUUGAAAUCUGGCGCAAGCCCGAGUUGUAAUUUGUAGAGGAUGCUUCUGGGUAGCGACCGGUCUAAGUUCCUUGGAACAGGACGUCAUAGAGGGUGAGAAUCCCGUAUGUGACCGGCCCGCACCCUCCACGUAGCUCCUUCGACGAGUCGAGUUGUUUGGGAAUGCAGCUCUAAAUGGGAGGUAAAUUUCUUCUAAAGCUAAAUACCGGCCAGAGACCGAUAGCGCACAAGUAGAGUGAUCGAAAGAUGAAAAGUACUUUGGAAAGAGAGUUAAAAAGCACGUGAAAUUGUUGAAAGGGAAGCGCCUGCAAUCAGACUUCGCGGCAGUGUUCCGCCGGUCUUCUGACCGGUCUAUUCUCUGUCGCGAGGCCAUCAUCGUCUCGGCCCGCUGGAUAAGACCUUGGGAAUGUAGCUCGCCUUCGGGAGAGUGUUAUAGCUCAUGGUGAUGCAGCGAGGCUGGGGCGAGGUCCGCGCUUCGGCAAGGAUGAUGGCGUAAUGGUUGUCGGCGGCCCGUCUUGAAACACGGACCAAGGAGUCUAACAUCUAUGCGAGUGUUCGGGUGUCAAACCCCUACGCGUAAUGAAAGUGAACGGAGGUGGGAACCGCAAGGUGCACCAUCGACCGAUCCUGAUGUCCUCGGAUGGAUUUGAGUAAGAGCAUAGCUGUUGGGACCCGAAAGAUGGUGAACUAUGCCUGAAUAGGGUGAAGCCAGAGGAAACUCUGGUGGAGGCUCGCAGCGGUUCUGACGUGCAAAUCGAUCGUCAAAUUUGGGUAUAGGGGCG